Non-coding RNA from Aedes aegypti (yellow fever mosquito), 72 nucleotides. Lineage: Eukaryota; Metazoa; Arthropoda; Insecta; Diptera; Culicidae. The record is from Rfam.
GGCUCGGUAGCUUAGUUGGUACAGCGCUCGUCUAGCAUACAAGAGUCCUGGGUUCAAAUCCCAGCCGAGCAC